RNAcentral lists this long non-coding RNA (2869 nucleotides) under Homo sapiens (human). Its description in RNAcentral is "HSALNT0257275". Lineage: Eukaryota; Metazoa; Chordata; Mammalia; Primates; Hominidae. The record is from RNAcentral.
UGAGAUUAUGACACUCCUGUGCGCACCCUGACAAUAGUAAAGAUUGUCAUUUUCCCACAUGAACCCAGCCAAUUUUGAGGUUCUGAACCUCACACCCAAAGGCAGUUGAAAGUUGAAAAAUUGAAUCACAUACAUGGAUCUUGUCCACAGAUGGGUUGGUGACUCUCAGACCAAGAUUCAGCACACCUGUGAGCCUCUGACUCCACUGAGGGAACACAGUUCAUGGGAGGGAUUGAGGAUUUAAUACACAGAUCCAGUUCACCUUUGAGAUGGUGACUCGUGUAAUUAGACACAACAUACAGAGAGAUUAUGACAUAUCUCUGGAACCAGAACCUUAGUGAUGUGACUCUUGUCUCCUGCUGAAGCCAUGCCCACACAAGGGAAAGUGACUCAUCACUGGACCCAGCACACAGGUGAUGUAAUUCUUCUGCCUUGUUUUUGUACCCAGGAGCCAUUGUAAUCCAUCUCUGGGCCCAUCAUUUAAAUGAUGUGACUAUCCUUUUCUUCCUGAGCCCUAUUCACAGGGAAAAUAGUGACACAUCUGUGGGCUUCUCACCGAAAUGAUGUGACUUUCCUUCCUGGGCUCACCUCUCAAGGGAAUUUUGACAUAUUACUGGACCAAGCACCUAGGUGAUGUGGCUCUGACAAACGAGAAAUUGUGAUGUACCACUGUUCCACACCUAAGAGAUCUGACUCUCUUUUCAUGAGCCCUGCAUUUAUUGUGUAUUGUGACAUAUGGCUUGGUCCAACGCCUAGGUGAUGUGACUCUCUACUUCUUCCUCGGCCAUGCCAAAGAAGAGGAUUGUGACAUAUCACUGGAUCCAGCACUUAGGUGAUGUAAAUCUUUUCUUUUGCUGAGCCAUGCAUAUUUUUGGUAUUGUGACAUGUAGCUGGACCGAACACCUACAGGACUGGAUCAGAGGCUACUUAAUAAGCCCUGCCCAUAGGCGGCCUUGUGACAUAUGUCUGCAUCUAUCACCAAAGUGAUGUGACUCUUUUUCUGCCUGCAUCCUGCACAUAGAGAAGAUUGUGACAUAUCGCUGGGCCCAGUAACCAGGUGAUGUGUCUUUUCUGGCAGGUCUUUUCCCACAGGGAGCAUUGUAAAAUAUCACUGGGCUCGGCCACCAGGUUAUGUGACCCUUCUGCCUGUGCCCUGCUUCCUGGAAAUGUGACAUUCCUCAUACAGCACCCAGGUGAUGUGACUCUUCUGCUCAUUUUCUACUUAUAGUUGGGAUUGUGACAAAUAUCCUGGCCCAACUCAUAGGUGCUAUGAUGAUUCCCGUACCUGGAAUCAGCCAAUAGGGAGAUAGUGUCUCUUGUAUUGUAGCCUAGGGAAACAAGUAAGAUCCUGGGCCUCCUCUUUGUAUGAAUGUCAUAAAGAGUUAUCAAUCUGACUGGGCAGUGUGGCUCAUGCCUGUAAUCCCAGCACUUUGGGAGGCCAAGGUGGGUGAAUCACGAGGUCAGGAGUUGGAGAGCAGCCUGGCCAACAUAGUGAAACUCUGUCUCUACUAAAAAUACAAAAAUUAGCCGGGUGUGGUGACAUGUGCCUGUAAUCCCAGCUACUCAAGAGGCUGAGGUGGGAGAAUCACUUGAACCCGGGAGGCAGAGGUUGCAGUGAGCUGAGACCAUGCCAUUGCACUCCAGCUUGGGUGACAGAGUGAGAUGAGGCUCCCUCUCAAAAAAAAAAAAAAAAAAGAGAAGAAAGAAAGAAUUACCAAUCUUUGGUGUGUUUCAUAAACCAUUUGGGUGGCACAAAGAAUGUCUUCAGAGGGCUUAGCGCACAGGUGAGAUUGUUUCUAAAAUGCAGAAACUGCCAACUGUUAGGACUGUCACCCUUACACAUGGCAAAAGCCAGCUAGUGAGCUCCUGAAUCUCACAGGUGGACACAGUUCAAAGUUGGAAUUGUGACUGUCAUAUAUUAACAUUUGGCCACAAUUAAGGUGGUGACUCAUUAAUAAAUGCAGUACAUAGGUAGGUGAAGACUCUCUGAUCUAGACCCUGUCAACUAGAGAGUGGGGACUCUGUAAUCUGGACCUUGCCAACUAUGCUCAGAAAGGUCUCAGAGCAGACUGUGACUUUUAUGCACACUCUACAAAGCCCUCAGGCGGUGCAGAAAGUGUUCCAACAGAGCCCAGCACACAGGUGAAAACCCCUGCCUGUGCCCUGCCCAUAUGGGCAAUUUUGACAUGUUGCUGAGUCUGAUACCUGGGUGAUGUAACUCUCUGGCCUGGUCCUGCCUACAAGGUUUUCUGUAACAUAUCUAUGCACCAGUCAACUUUGUGUUUUGAUAAUCCUCUUCUACCAAUUUCUGCUCAAAAGAAGGAUUUUGACAAAUAAUUGGGACCAGCACCUAGCUGACAUUAUUCUACUUUUCUUUCAAGGUUUGGUUUUCAGGGGAUGUUGUGACAUGUCACUAGGCUAACAGACAGGUGAUAUUCUUCUGCCUUGGCUCUUCCAAAAUAAAGCAUUUUUACACAGUGCUAUGCCCAGGACCACAGUGACUGAGUCUCCUGCCUAGACCCUGCCCACAGAAAGAUUGUAACAUAUCUCUAGACCCAUCAACUAUUUGAUGUGAGUCUCUUCUUUUACCUUGUCUUUUCCCACAAAAGAGAUUGUGAUAUGUCUCUGGGCCCAGCACCUAGGUGAUGUGACUUCUUCUGCCUGGAUCAUGCCCAUAGAAGGGAGAGUAACUUAAUACUGGGCUUACCACAGACAUGCUGAGAUACUUCUGCCUGUUACUUGCCCGCAGGAUGCAUAUGCCAGAUUUCUGGGCCCAUCACCUAGAUGAUGGGACUCUCCUUUCUGGGACCAGUACACAGUGGGAACUGUGAUGCAUUGUUUAGCUCAGCAGCUACAUAAUGUAACUCCC